AGAGUUUGAUCCUGGCUCAGGAUAAACGCUGGCGGCGCACAUAAGACAUGCAAGUCGAACGAACUUAAUCGAUUCUUUAGUUCGAAGCGGUUAGUGGCGGACUGGUGAGUAACACGUAAGCAACCUGCCUAUUAGAGGGGAAUAACAGUGAGAAAUCAUUGCUAAUACCGCAUAAGCUAACAAUAUCGCAUGAUAUAGUUAGAAAAGGAGUAAUCCGCUAAUAGAUGGGCUCGCGUCUGAUUAGCUAGUUGGUGAGGUAACGGCUUACCAAGGCGACGAUCAGUAGCCGAACUGAGAGGUUGAACGGCCACAUUGGGACUGAGAUACGGCCCAGACUCCUACGGGAGGCAGCAGUCGGGAAUAUUGCGCAAUGGAGGAAACUCUGACGCAGUGACGCCGCGUAUAGGAAGAAGGUUUUCGGAUUGUAAACUAUUGUCGUUAGGGAAGAUACAAGACAGUACCUAAGGAGGAAGCUCCGGCUAACUAUGUGCCAGCCGCCGC
RNAcentral lists this ribosomal RNA (501 nucleotides) under uncultured bacterium. Its description in RNAcentral is "bacterial SSU rRNA". It matches the Rfam family "Bacterial small subunit ribosomal RNA", at positions 8 to 518 of the family's 1533-position model. The record is from RNAcentral.